CUUGGCCAAUAGGAAUCACUUCCAGCUCAAGACUGGGCGAGGGGGAAGAGCCUCGGCCGCCGGCGGGGAGCGGGACGCGCCGGCCUGGCUGCGCGGUGUGAAGGUAUGAGGAGGCGGCCUCCGCAGAGCGGGGAUUCAGGCGACCACUCACGUUCACAGACGGAGCUGCUGCGCAGACGAUGUUUGACAUGGAAAUUGCUUGGCUGGGAACCUAAAAUUGUGGCUGACAUACAGUAGGUCCUCUGCAUUGGCUGGCUGGCUGAAUGAAAACUGGCUUCUACCACUUACUGCAUAUAGCAUCAAAACUUCAGAUGAAAUCCUGGACAUUGCUGCAUAUGCUAUCAGAACUUUGAAGAUUACAGAGUGGCAGUGAGGAGCUGAGUCACUGGAUUUCCAGAGCAUAGGAACCACCACCUCAGGUAGCAGAGGAGAACAUCAGAAAGACCACGGUGCUGGGGGUCAGCAGAUGCCGCCCUUCUGCCAUCUUGCUCCGCGGCUGACCCCCGUGGGACUAGGUUGGCCACCCACUGGCUGGCAGCCUUGGGCAAUUCACUCAACUCCUCUAGUCUUAUUUUCUUCAUCUGUACCAAUAGUGCUUCCCUCCAAAGCUGUUGGAAGGAUUAAAUAAAAUAAUAUAUG
Long non-coding RNA from Diceros bicornis minor, 639 nucleotides. RefSeq lists it as uncharacterized. Lineage: Eukaryota; Metazoa; Chordata; Mammalia; Perissodactyla; Rhinocerotidae. The record is from RefSeq and is a predicted model, not a curated record. The transcript is spliced from 4 exons.